GAGGGGGUUACCCCACCCCCUUUUGGUUGAAAACUUGUAAACGGUCAACAUCCCCACCCCUAAACCAUAUAUAUUCUUGUAGGGGACAAUAAAACAAAUGAAAUGAAAUAAGAGGGAAGUCCCAAGGGUAUCACCCCACCCCCUCUUGUUUGAAAACUUGUAAACGGUCAACAUCCCCACCCCUAAACCAUAUAUAUUCUUGUAUGGAACAAUAAAACUAAUCAAAUAAAAUUAAAGAGAAGUUCCUGGGGGUAACUCCACUCCGUUCAAUUUGAGAAUGUGCUAUUAUCUUGUAAACGGUCCAGAUCCCCACCCUUAAACCAUAUACAUUCUUGUAGGGGACAAUAAAACAAAUCAAAUGAAAUGUAGGUAAAUUUCCUGGGGGUCACCACCACCCCCUCCUGUUUGAAUACUUGUAAAUGGUGGAGAUCCCUACUUGUAAGCCAUAUAUAUUCUUGUAUGGGACAAAAAAUUAAAUCAAAUGAACAUGGGACCAUAUGAAUAGCGAGUUAUGGGAGCUUUGUUUGGGAG
RNAcentral lists this long non-coding RNA (531 nucleotides) under Mytilus galloprovincialis (Mediterranean mussel). Lineage: Eukaryota; Metazoa; Mollusca; Bivalvia; Mytilida; Mytilidae. The record is from RNAcentral.